UCUCAGUAGGUUAGCAGUGAUGGUCUCAGUAGGUUAUCAGUGAUGGUCUCAGUAGCUUAGCAGUGAUGGGCUCAGUAGGUUAUCAGUGAUGGUCUCUCUCUCACACUCACCAGGCCGUCACAAGUGCUUAUAGCCGCCCUCCCCUUCAUAGUCGCCCGGUCCCACACGUCCCCGAUAAAGUGACACAGCGAGGGGCCAUGGCUGCGUAUUUUGGCCCCCUCCAGGCCACCGUACCUCCUCUCAGUCAGGAAGCCAGGAGCCAGUAGGUGUGGGUUGAGGGUGAGGUUGAAGUGCAGAUUGUGGCCACCGUGCUGCAACUGGUAGAACACCCGUGUAGGGUUUCCUGGUUCCCCCUGGGUUUCCCGCCGCUGUACCCGGCUGACGCGGUGGGACACAAAGUUGGACAGGAAGUGACCUUUGGCGUCCACUCGGUAGGGGUGAACGACCUCGUACUGCGGAAGCCCCUGUAGAAAGCUCUC
This 479-nucleotide long non-coding RNA is filed under the name Salmo salar (Atlantic salmon). Its description in RNAcentral is "lncRNA (ENSSSAG00000112234.1)". The record is from RNAcentral. Lineage: Eukaryota; Metazoa; Chordata; Actinopteri; Salmoniformes; Salmonidae.